This 497-nucleotide ribosomal RNA is filed under the name uncultured bacterium. Its description in RNAcentral is "partial 16S ribosomal RNA". It matches the Rfam family "Bacterial small subunit ribosomal RNA", at positions 28 to 507 of the family's 1533-position model. The record is from RNAcentral.
GAUGAACGCUGGCGGCGUGCCUAAUACAUGCAAGUCGAGCGAACAGACGAGGAGCUUGCUCCUCUGACGUUAGCGGCGGACGGGUGAGUAACACGUGGAUAACCUACCUAUAAGACUGGGAUAACUUCGGGAAACCGGAGCUAAUACCGGAUAAUAUAUUGAACCGCAUGGUUCAAUAGUGAAAGACGGUUUUGCUGUCACUUAUAGAUGGAUCCGCGCCGCAUUAGCUAGUUGGUAAGGCAACGGCUUACCAAGGCAACGAUGCGUAGCCGACCUGAGAGGGUGAUCGGCCACACUGGAACUGAGACACGGUCCAGACUCCUACGGGAGGCAGCAGUAGGGAAUCUUCCGCAAUGGGCGAAAGCCUGACGGGGCAACGCCGCGUGAGUGAUGAAGGUCUUCGGAUCGUAAAACUCUGUUAUUAGGGAAGAACAAAUGUGUAAGUAACUAUGCACGUCUUGACGGUACCUAAUCAGAAAGCCACGGCUAACUACGUG